UUUAAAAAAUGUUAUAGUAAUAAUAAAUUUUUAAUUUCAAUUUUUUUAAAAAGGACAUUAUUUAAAAUUGUAAGGGAAUUUGGGUUAUUUUAUUAAUAAUAAUAGGAACAUAAACAAACCACACAAUUUGAAAGAAUUCAAAACCAAACAAACAAACAAAUAAAAUAACAACCCAACAUUGAGCAGGCAUCCACUUUCCCUUUCCAUGGGCAAUCAGCAACACCAUGGAAUCCAAAACGGCAACCUAUGUUCCUAGCCAACAAUCAUACCGUUCAUCUCCCCUGAUCUCAACCGAAACCCCCCAAACAUUGUCGAACACUCAAAGAAUUUAGCAACCCAUCACCACCUCAAAAGUAACCCACCGGUCUUCGUACCCCCACCCUAGAUAGUACUAGCCCUCAAUACCCUUCCCCCCUUCAAACCCCAUUGAAGUUUCUUGCGAUGCCAUCAGAGAACAUCUCCACCAUUUCUUCCCCCUUCCCCCAACUGUCAUUCGCGCCGAUCGUUGUCCAUCGCAUCCCUCGCAAAGUCCAACACACACCCUUCCAGAUAAGUACUCCCACCUCUCAUCAACCCCUCUCUUGAUAGUAUAUGUGCAACUCUAUUCGCAUCCCUGGGAACAUGUCUAAAUGAGCAUCUUGUGAAACCUUCUAUUUUUUUCUUUGCAUCGUAUAUAUAAGCCCCUAUAAACGGCCCAUUUUCAUUGCAGGACCUCAUCUUUUUUAUCACUGACAAGGCGUCCCCUUCUACCAUCACCUAUUGAAUCCCUAAAUCUAUCCCCAAACUUACUGCCUGAAGACAUGCAAGGGCCUCUGCUGCAAAACUCGUAGGUAUGCGGCAAUUUAUUAUUGUUUUUGAGCGUACCACUUUACCCUCCCAAUUUUUGAUAAUUACCCCCGAGUAUGAUCUAUCAUUCCCUUGAAAUGCUGCAUCAAAAUUUAUUUUGAGGAAAGGAUCCUUUGGAGGCUUCCAACUUUCAUUCUCAACCCUUCGAACAUGUAAUUUCCUUUGAACCACAUCAACAUCUCUAAUGUAGGACUCAACCCUAUGAAUUAUGUCUUGAGAUAAUAAGAUCGUCCUGUCAUGAAUUAAUCUAUUUCUUGUUGACCACAUAUACCAUAGGGUACAAAUCACAAUUCUUCAUAUAGUAGUAGAGAAUGUGGAAACAAUGUAAUUAAGCCAUUCUUGUAAAGAUCCAUUAGCAAUAUCAUUAGGCUAUUCGAAAUCUAACUUUCUCCAUAUUUCCGCUAUAGAAGGACAGUCUCUAAAAAUAUGCUCAGAGGUUUCGACAUCUCUUGUACACUUCGGGCACAUUGUUGAACUUCACAGCCUCUUGUUGUACAAAUUAUUGUAGUUAGGGAUGUAAUUUUUAAAGAUUCUGCAUGCUGUAAUUUUUAUUUUCUCUAGUAAAUUGAUCUACCAAAGUCUCUUAAAGAAGGUUGUAUAAUUAUUGUUUCUACCAAUAGACUCGGCAUUCUGAAUUAAGAUCUUAUAGCCACUCUUUACUGAAAAUAUAAUAAAUUAUUCAAACACACAUAUUUAU
RNAcentral lists this long non-coding RNA (1543 nucleotides) under Gossypium barbadense (sea-island cotton). RNAcentral's name for it is "long non-coding RNA (GBAR_LNC013732)". Lineage: Eukaryota; Viridiplantae; Streptophyta; Magnoliopsida; Malvales; Malvaceae. The record is from RNAcentral.